UACAGAGGGUGCAAGCGUUAAUCGGAAUUACUGGGCGUAAAGCGUGCGUAGACGGUUAUGUAAGUCAGGUGUGAAAGCCCAGGGCUCAACCUUGGAAUUGCAUUUGAGACUGCAUAGCUAGGGUGCGGAAGAGGGAAGCGGAAUUUCCGGUGUAGCGGUGAAAUGCGUAGAUAUCGGAAGGAACACCAGUGGCGAAAGCGGCUUCCCUGGUCCAGCACCGACGUCAGGCACGAAAGCGUGGGGAGCAAACAGG
This 253-nucleotide ribosomal RNA is filed under the name uncultured bacterium. RNAcentral's name for it is "partial 16S ribosomal RNA". It matches the Rfam family "Bacterial small subunit ribosomal RNA", at positions 524 to 776 of the family's 1533-position model. The record is from RNAcentral.